Molecule: long non-coding RNA, 663 nt
Filed under: Homo sapiens (human)
Lineage: Eukaryota; Metazoa; Chordata; Mammalia; Primates; Hominidae
Description: long non-coding RNA NONHSAT167091.1
Source: RNAcentral
GGCACACAUUAAUGCAAAGCUGUUUAGUUGGGAAUGAACCACUUAAGAGGCUCUUCGAGCAAAAACAUCAGUCUAUGUAGCAGACGUAGGUCCAUGAAGACUGUCAUCUUGACUCCCUAGAGGAUUAUAACCUCUGAAUGGAUUCUUUCAUGAGUAUUUAUCAUCCUUAAAACCCUGAUCAGAAAUAUCAAAUGAUCAUAGUUGCAACGUGCCUGCUUUUGCACCAUUGACAGCCAGUAUUCGCAUCUUGAGAAGAGAGAGUUUCAUUGAUGAAAGAGUAUCAACAGUAUGUGAGGAACACUAGCAGUGCUUCUGAGGACAAGACUGUGCUGGUAUCUUUUCCUUUCUCCUCCAUUUCUUUCCCAUUUAUCAGCACCCAGCACUCUCUCUCAACUCUCCCUCUGCUUACAUCAAUUACAGGACAAUGGGCUUGUCCCACGAUGCGGGAAGGAUGGGUAUACCAUGGGAAGAGGAAAGAACAGGGCUUGAUACUCCUCCAGCUAAUUAAUGACCAGGGGAAAAGGAAUGCCAGUCACGGCCCACCUAGGGUGCAUUUAAGCACAUAACAUAGACAACAAAAACUGAAGGCAUGAAGAAGAUUCAGAACAUUAACAGGAAGAAUGAAGAUUAUUGAAGGUAGCAAUGUAUGGAAUUUCAAGGUUU